This 237-nucleotide unclassified non-coding RNA is filed under the name uncultured Chloroflexota bacterium. RNAcentral describes it as "uncultured Chloroflexi bacterium contains 16S-23S intergenic spacer region". The record is from RNAcentral. Lineage: Bacteria; Bacillati; Chloroflexota.
UCCCCGUUAUCCGAGGCGGUUUCGCCCGAGUUCCUACGCUUUCUAGCCCAGGUAAGGUUCUUCGCGUUGCCUCGAAUUAAACCACACGCUCCGCUGCUUGUGCGGGCCCCCGCCUAUUCCUUUGAGUUUUAACCUUGCGGCCGUAGUCCCCAGGCGGUGAACUUAAUGCGUUAGCUGCGGCACUGAUCGGGUCAAUCCGACCAACACCUAGUUCACAACGUUUAGGGCGUGGACUAC